GUGUCAGCCGCCGCGGUAAUACAGAGGGUGCGAGCGUUAAUCGGAUUUACUGGGCGUAAAGGGCGCGUAGGCGGUUGUGUGAGUGUGAUGUGAAAGCCCCGGGCUCAACCUGGGAAGUGCAUCGCAAACGACACGACUGGAGUAGAUGAGAGGGUGGCGGAAUUUCCAGUGUAGCGGUGAAAUGCGUAGAGAUUGGAAGGAACGUCAAUGGCGAAGGCAGCCACCUGGCAUCAUACUGACGCUGAGGCGCGAAAGCGUGGGGAGCGAACAGGAUUAGAUACCCCUGUAGUCC
This 292-nucleotide ribosomal RNA is filed under the name uncultured bacterium. RNAcentral describes it as "partial 16S ribosomal RNA". It matches the Rfam family "Bacterial small subunit ribosomal RNA", at positions 505 to 796 of the family's 1533-position model. The record is from RNAcentral.